GUGGGGAAUUUUGGACAAUGGGCGCAAGCCUGAUCCAGCAAUGCCGCGUGCAGGAAGAAGGCCUUCGGGUUGUAAACUGCUUUUGUACGGAACGAAACGGUCCUGGUUAAUACCUGGGGCUAAUGACGGUACCGUAAGAAUAAGCACCGGCUAACUACGUGCCAGCAGCCGCGGUAAUACGUAGGGUGCGAGCGUUAAUCGGAAUUACUGGGCGUAAAGCGUGCGCAGGCGGUGCUGUAAGACAGGCGUGAAAUCCCCGGGCUCGACCUGGGAAUUGCGCUUGUGACUGCAGUGCUGGAGUACGGCAGAGGGGGAUGGAAUUCCGCGUGUAGCAGUGAAAUGCGUAGAUAUGCGGAGGAACACCGAUGGCGAAGGCAGUCCCCUGGGCCUGUACUGACGCUCAUGCACGAAAGCGUGGGGAGCAAACAGGAUUAGAUACCCUUGUAGUCC
Molecule: ribosomal RNA, 450 nt
Filed under: uncultured bacterium
Lineage: Bacteria
Description: partial 16S ribosomal RNA
Rfam family: Bacterial small subunit ribosomal RNA
Source: RNAcentral